Molecule: transfer RNA, 62 nt
Filed under: Stenotrophomonas maltophilia
Lineage: Bacteria; Pseudomonadati; Pseudomonadota; Gammaproteobacteria; Lysobacterales; Lysobacteraceae
Description: tRNA-Gly
Rfam family: tRNA
About the family: Transfer RNA (tRNA) molecules are approximately 80 nucleotides in length. Their secondary structure includes four short double-helical elements and three loops (D, anti-codon, and T loops).
Source: RNAcentral
AAUAGCUCAGUUGGUAGAGCGCAACCUUGCCAAGGUUGAGGUCGCGAGUUCGAGUCUCGUUU